GCUAUGUUUUAGAUAUAGGUUUUUGAGUGUUUUUGUUAUUUCUAGAGUCAUUUCAGGUAUUCUAUGGAGAGAGAGACAAGAAUGGAGAUAAGGAGACAUUUUGGAGCAAAAGCUGAAGAAAAUAAGCUAAAGGACAAAUUCACUUUCAGAUCAAGUCGAGAGUGUCGACCGACACACUCUUGGUGUUGAUCGACACCGGUUUCAUCCCAGAGAAGUCCAUGACGCUUUCAAGUCUACAGAAGUGGAAAUAUACCCCAGAAGACUUCCCUAUUUGCAUUAUUAGUCCUUGAACGUUUUUUAGGUCAUAUAUAUAGUUUUAGAGGUCAUUGUUUAGACCCAAGAAGUUCUUUCUAUCAAGUUCUUUCAAGCUUUUCAUCCCAGUUUUCUCUUAGAGACAAGCUAUUUAUCGCCUGUUUUUCAGAGAUUCAUUCAGAUUUCAAUAUAGUGAAGAGAUCUUUUCUAACUCUUUCUUUUACUGAAUUGUUUAUGCUUUCUUACUCAAAUAUGUUGCUUGUUUCAAUCUCCAUGUCUGAGUAGUUUGCUUGUUAGGGUUAGGGUUUCUCACUAGGGAUUCAUAUGGUUUAGUACAUCGCCCCUUUGCUAGGUGAUCUAUAGAAUUCUUCAUCUUUAAUUUUUCUUGAUGCUAGUUCUAGAGUAAUUAACUAGAACUUGAAUCCUGACAAUAGAUAUACCCGCCAUAAGUAUAUGUAGUUGAAUCUAUUAUUUGAUGAGCCUGGUCUAUAGGUGUGUAAUAAGAAUCGGCUUAUUUACUAAGGUGAACUGAAUUGAACUCGUUUAUAUUGCAUGCUGAAGUAU
RNAcentral lists this small RNA (816 nucleotides) under Arabidopsis thaliana (thale cress). RNAcentral describes it as "ATSL085380". The record is from RNAcentral. Lineage: Eukaryota; Viridiplantae; Streptophyta; Magnoliopsida; Brassicales; Brassicaceae.